Molecule: unclassified non-coding RNA, 401 nt
Filed under: soil metagenome
Description: partial contains 5.8S ribosomal RNA, internal transcribed spacer 2, and large subunit ribosomal RNA
Rfam family: 5.8S ribosomal RNA (bases 1-121)
Source: RNAcentral
GAUGAAGAACGUAGCGAAAUGCGAUAAGUAAUGUGAAUUGCAGAAUUCAGUGAAUCAUCGAAUCUUUGAACGCACCUUGCGCCCUUUGGCCAUUCCGAAGGGCAUGCCUGUUUGAGUAUCAUGAACACCUCAACUCUCAUGGCUUGCCAUGAUCAGCUUGGACUUUGGGGGUCUUGCUGGCCUGUGGUCGGCUCCUCUCAAAUGAAUCAGCUUGCCAGUGUUUGGUGGCAUCACAAGUGUGAUAACUAUCUGCGCUCGUGGUUUCCAUCAGAUAACCUCCAGUGAUGGAGGUUCGCUGGAGCUCAUAAAUGUCUCUCCUAAGCGAGGACAGCUCUUUUAAUGUUUGAUCUCAAAUCAGGUAGGACUACCCGCUGAACUUAAGCAUAUCAAUAAGCGGAGGA